GACGAACGCUGGCGGCGUGCCUAAUACAUGCAAGUUGAGCGAUGGAGCUUUGUGCGUGCACUCUUUUGGAGAGCGGCUAACGGGUGAGUAACGCGUGGGGAAUCUGCCUUUGUUUGGGGGACAACAUCUGGAAACGAAUGCUAAUACCGCAUAACAACUUUAACCGUAAGUUUUAAGUUUGAAACAUGCAAUUGCAUCACUCAAAGACCAUCCCGCGUUUUAUUAGCUGGUUGGUGAGGUAAAGGCCCACCAAGGCGAAGAUACAUAGCCGACCUGGGAGGGUGAACGGCCAACUUGGGAAUGGAGAAAGGCCCAAGACCCUUACGGGAGGAGCAGGAGGGGAAUAUCGGACAAGGAGGGAAGGCUGACCGAGGAACGCCGGCGGGGGGAAGAAAGGUCUUGGAUCGGAAAACUCUGUUGGUAGGGAAGGAAGAGGGUGAGGGUGAAAAGCCCAUGAAGUGACGGUAACUAAACAAUAAGGAACGGCUAACUACGUG
This 497-nucleotide ribosomal RNA is filed under the name uncultured bacterium. RNAcentral's name for it is "partial 16S ribosomal RNA". It matches the Rfam family "Bacterial small subunit ribosomal RNA", at positions 28 to 507 of the family's 1533-position model. The record is from RNAcentral.